GACGAACCACACAAACGUUAUUCGGAAUUACUGGGCUUAAAGGGUGUGUAGGCGGCGCGGAAAGUUGGGUGUGAAAUCCCUCGGCUCAACCGAGGAACUGCGCCCAAAACUACCGUGCUCGAGGGAGAUAGAGGUGAGCGGAACUUAGGGUGGAGCGGUGAAAUGCGUUGAUAUCCUAAGGAACACCCGUGGCGAAAGCGGCUCACUGGGUCUCUUCUGACGCUGAGGCACGAAAGCUAGGGUAGCGAACGGG
This 253-nucleotide ribosomal RNA is filed under the name uncultured bacterium. RNAcentral's name for it is "partial 16S ribosomal RNA". It matches the Rfam family "Bacterial small subunit ribosomal RNA", at positions 524 to 776 of the family's 1533-position model. The record is from RNAcentral.